GGCUGGUACGAGUGCAGUGGUGUUUACAACUCAUUGAUCAUAAAGAGUUAGAGAUUUCUUUAUUCCUUCCCCACUCCCACUGCUUUACUUGACUAGCCUUUA
This 102-nucleotide Y RNA is filed under the name Prolemur simus (greater bamboo lemur). RNAcentral's name for it is "Y RNA (ENSPSMG00000009894.1)". It matches the Rfam family "Y RNA". Rfam says of the family: Y RNAs are components of the Ro ribonucleoprotein particle (Ro RNP), in association with Ro60 and La proteins. The Y RNAs and Ro60 and La proteins are well conserved, but the function of the Ro RNP is not known. The record is from Rfam by way of RNAcentral. Lineage: Eukaryota; Metazoa; Chordata; Mammalia; Primates; Lemuridae.